RNAcentral lists this ribosomal RNA (122 nucleotides) under Diaphorina citri (Asian citrus psyllid). Lineage: Eukaryota; Metazoa; Arthropoda; Insecta; Hemiptera; Psyllidae. The record is from RNAcentral.
GCCAGCAGCGAUAGCAGAUUAAAUAUACCUACCAGUUCCCAACGGAUCACUAAAGUUAAGCGACGUUCCGCGUGGUUAAUAUCCGCAUGGGUGACCAUAUGGACAAUGGCGUCCUGCUGACU